This is a non-coding RNA of Phrynosoma platyrhinos (Desert horned lizard), 72 nucleotides long. The record is from the annotation of a GenBank genome assembly. Lineage: Eukaryota; Metazoa; Chordata; Lepidosauria; Squamata; Phrynosomatidae.
GCCAGCGUGGUGUAGUGGUUUGAGCAUUCGACUAGGACUAUGGAGACCAGGCUUCGACUCCCUGCUCGGCCA